GCUGAGACUGUUUUUGUUUUUGGAAAUAAAUGUGACCCGUUAGGAUACAUUGAGUAAUGUAAGUCACCUGAAGCUACUACCUGUCCCUGUUUGCAUAGCAAAAGUGUCCUCAUCCAAAGGCUGGGAAACUCGUGCAGACAGCAGCCACUGAGGAGGGAGAUUCAGAGUCAGAAGAACCAGCUCCUGCUUCUUUGAUUAUACAGAGGACAUCUGAGCUACCCAGAGACCCAGCCAUCACCUUAUAAAGCCUAGGGCACCACCAGAAAAUCAACACUAUGGCUUUGAUCCCAAACCCCGCCAACUGCAGGACGCUGAGGAUUCUGCAGCCAGGAAGAAUGCCGAGGCCUCCUCCGGCCACUCUUCUCCCAGCACACCCGACUUCCAUUAUGCAGGGACAUGCCUGGGCUGGGGGCUGCUGCCAGAAUUCUCCUGGCCCAAACAGGAGGCUCUGGGUUGUGGCCCAGAAUCUUUCCUGAAAAUCCGUGCAAGUUUCCUCCAUCGCUUCCAAUCCUGUACUUUCAUGUCGGUGAGAUUCUGGGCCGUGUUUGGCCUGAGCAAUGCUAAAGCUUGCUCCUGUCUUUCUUCCUCUAUGAGCUAAGUUCUCUUCUCCCUGCAGCCCCUCUGCCCCUCACAGUUGUAAAUAAGAAAGUUCUGCUUUCAGAAACAAUCCUGAAAACGAUGACCAAGUCCGAACUCUUGUCCAUUAAGCCCUUUUAUGGCCCACAGACUUAACUCCUUAAACACGGUUUUUGCUGGGUAGGGUGGAGCAUACCCGUAAUCCCAGCACUUGGGAGGCUGAGGCAGGAGGAUCCUAGCAAAUUAGAGGCCAACCUGGGCUACAUAGUGAGAUUCUGUCUCAAAAACAAAAACAGUUUUCACCUACUGAGAUAACAUUCUUAUGGGAACACUGAUUGGGUUAUUGCUAGCUUGUGUGAUGGGAAAAACCUAGAACGUCCCUCCAAGAGACUUUGGUCACCCCAACUAAACAACCCAGAGAGGCAGACCCAAACGUCUACCUGGUUUGGAAGAACCCCAGAGGUGUUAGUCACCUUGCACUUGCUGAGAAUCAGAGUGGAGGUGAAGCCUGUCCUGCAGUUUAACUGUUUAUGCCAAAGCCAGCUCACGUUUGCAGAAUUCCCCUUGGGGAGCCACGGGCACUGCUGAGCCCUUGGCACAUAUCAUUCAUGCACUCCUAGCCCAGCCCUGUCAGAUUCGCACACUCAUCCCAUCUUACACAGCAGGAAGCAUAGGCUCAGAGGAGACAGGGUGGGACUUGGUGAGCCCUGACUGAGGUCACCUGGCUGAUAAGUGAUAAAGGCACUGCUCAAUUUUGGCUUCAUCUGAUCCCCUAAUCCCCAAAUCUGGGCUCAGCCCCACUCCAAUCCAUGGCCUCCUUCGGGACUUGAAAAUGUAAAUGACACAUUCUGUUCACGAUUAGGAAUUUUCUGGCAUGGUAGUGCACCUCUAUAAUUCCAGCAUUCAGGAGGCUGAGGCGGGAGGGUCACACACACACACACACACAAAGUAGAGCCAGGCAUGGUGGAGCACGCCUAUAAUCCCAGCACUUGGGAGGCUGAGGCAGGAGGAUCACCAUGAGUUCGAGGCCAGCCUGGACUACAUAGCAAG
This is a long non-coding RNA of Heterocephalus glaber (naked mole-rat), 1626 nucleotides long. NCBI's taxonomy places the organism in Eukaryota, Metazoa, Chordata, Mammalia, Rodentia, Bathyergidae. The record is from Ensembl.